CCGGCACGGUGAGUAACACGUAUCCAACCUGCCGUCUACUCUUGGACAGCCUUCUGAAAGGAAGAUUAAUACAAGAUGGCAUCAUGAGUCCGCAUGUUCACAUGAUUAAAGGUAUUCCGGUAGACGAUGGGGAUGCGUUCCAUUAGGUUGUUGGCGGGGUAACGGCCCACCAAGCCUUCGAUGGAUAGGGGUUCUGAGAGGAAGGUCCCCCACAUUGGAACUGAGACACGGUCCAA
Molecule: ribosomal RNA, 236 nt
Filed under: uncultured bacterium
Lineage: Bacteria
Description: partial 16S ribosomal RNA
Rfam family: Bacterial small subunit ribosomal RNA
Source: RNAcentral